This 108-nucleotide ribosomal RNA is filed under the name Acanthosepion pharaonis. Lineage: Eukaryota; Metazoa; Mollusca; Cephalopoda; Sepiida; Sepiidae. The record is from RNAcentral.
UGGACAUAUCACAUUGAAACACUGGUUCUCAUACAAUCACUGGUUAAGCAACAUCAAGCCUGAUCAGUACCUAGAUGGGUGACCACUUGGGAAUACCAGGUGCUGUAA